This 484-nucleotide ribosomal RNA is filed under the name uncultured bacterium. RNAcentral's name for it is "partial 16S ribosomal RNA". It matches the Rfam family "Bacterial small subunit ribosomal RNA", at positions 30 to 507 of the family's 1533-position model. The record is from RNAcentral.
AUUGAACGCUGGCGGCAGGCCUAACACAUGCAAGUCGAGCGGAUGAAGGGAGCUUGCUCCUGGAUUCAGCGGCGGACGGGUGAGUAAUGCCUAGGAAUCUGCCUGGUAGUGGGGGAUAACGUCCGGAAACGGGCGCUAAUACCGCAUACGUCCUGAGGGAGAAAGUGGGGGAUCUUCGGACCUCACGCUAUCAGAUGAGCCUAGGUCGGAUUAGCUAGUUGGUGGGGUAAAGGCCUACCAAGGCGACGAUCCGUAACUGGUCUGAGAGGAUGAUCAGUCACACUGGAACUGAGACACGGUCCAGACUCCUACGGGAGGCAGCAGUGGGGAAUAUUGGACAAUGGGCGAAAGCCUGAUCCAGCCAUGCCGCGUGUGUGAAGAAGGUCUUCGGAUUGUAAAGCACUUUAAGUUGGGAGGAGGGGCAGUAAGUUAAUACCCUGCUGUUUUGACGUUACCAACAGAAUAAGCACCGGCUAACUUCGUG